Molecule: non-coding RNA, 530 nt
Organism: Dermacentor andersoni
Lineage: Eukaryota; Metazoa; Arthropoda; Arachnida; Ixodida; Ixodidae
Source: RefSeq, a predicted model, not a curated record
GGACCGCCACAAGCGCCCGAAGUGCUGCGGUUUGCACUGCAUCUUUCAUUGUGAUAUGGGAGAUCGCAACGGACAGAGACGACCAGAUGCAUACGAACCACUACCAGCGGGGACCUGUGACUUGUGCCAUAUUUCUCUUAACGUCUCAGGUAUUCAAGAAAUGGCAGCAGCCAGAAGUCGCCAUCUUAUCCAGCACGUUAUGGGUACACUAUGGCGGCUCCUACUCCUGCGUCCUACCACCACCCUGUCCUGACUACGUCCACUAGGGAGUUGGGAGCCUUUGGCGGCUUCUGCCACUGCAUCCUGCCGCCACCAUGCCCCAACUACGUCCACUAGGGAGUUGGCAGGCUUAGUGAUGAUGCCAGCAGGCUGACAGCCGACAGAAAGAUUCAGGUUGCCUCGAAAUUUUACCCAAGCCAUGCCGCACACUUGGGCCAAGCCUCUUGCGAACGACGUAUAACCAGGCUCAACGCAUGAGUGUCGAGUGAGUCCAGAGAUCAAGGCAACCUGCUGUGCAACCAGCGUGAAAC